UAAAGCUGCACAAAACAAAUGAGGUGGCUGUUUUUAGUCUGUGACCACAGCUGUGCCAACCAGAACUGAGGGCAAGGCCAGGAGAAUGAAUGAGACGCACCCACAGUACACUUGUCCUCUGGAGUACACCUGCAGAUGGUGGCAGGGAGAGCUCAGGUGUGGGCGGAGCAUGGCCAUCCUACCACGUCCAGAAGGCGGAGCUCCGAGAGCUCAGCUGUGAGCUGAGCAUGGCCACCCUACCACGUCCGGGAGGCGGAGAUUGGAGAGAGCUCAGGUGUGGGCAGAGCAUAUCACCCUACCACCUCCAGGAGUGGGAGAUCAGAGAGAGCUCAGGUGUGGGCGGAGCAUGGCCAUCCUACCACCUCCAGGAGGGGGAGAUCGGAGUGGGUGCAGGAUGGGAGCUCUCCACAGAUCCACACCAGCAGCGAAUCAAUCCAAGCCUGCCCAUGUCACGAUGACCCAGCAGUGCCUGUGCUACCUGCUAAAACAAGAGCUGGAAAGCUUCAGAGGAAGGUAAAAAGCUGAGCAAACUGAAAAAUCAGCAGUUCUUCUUAAACCUGCAAGAGACGUGAGGUCACAGGCAAGCCACUGUCCCCAGAUUGGCUGGACAGGUAAAGCGGAGAAUCACAGUACACUGGAGCACAAUGCUCCAAGGAACCCAUGCUGGGAUUGGAAUACCUGAACUGGAAUUGACAAAUUGCUGCAGUGAGGUGUGGCCACAUCUGAGAGUUGAAACCUCCAGGAGGCCUGUGCAUAUGGGUCUCAUGCUUUUGUGAGUUGUGUCAUCAGAAGCUCAACCAGGUUCUCGAAGUAAACAUCAGAGAAAAAUCCCCUCAUAUUUACUACAGGGGAAAGAGAAUAGGAAUCAUUUUUCAAUAUGGAGGUGCACUCUUCACUAGGUCUACGUUCCAGAGAAGCUAGCUAACUAGAGACUAACCUGGUGGGAUUUUAUCAGAGCCUUCUGACCUGGUGGAAAGGGAAAUACCCAACUCCAACCUCCAGAACUGAAAAGCAAAAAAGAACAGAGUAUCCAAGCACUAUGGGACAUCCACCGAGGCAUAAAAUAUGCAUAACGGUAAUGUAAGGGGGAAGAAAGAGGAACAGAAGAAAUAUUUGUAACAGUAAUAGCUGCAUUUCCUCAGAUUAAAGCCAGACACCAAACCAUAGAUCCAGGAAGCUCAAAAAACACCAAGAAGGAUAAAUGUAAAAACGACGACAACAAAAACAAAACAAAAAUAAACUCUACUUGGGCAUAAAAUAUUCAAACUAUGGUGACUCAAAGAUUAAAAACCAAAGAAACCAGAGUAAUCUCCUUCCCUAUGGAGGAUCAAAGAUAAGAAUUAUAUUCAUCUUCCCCUCAAAAACCAUGAAAGCAAGAAGUGGAGUGAAGUAUUUGAACUAUUGAGAGGAAAAAAAUUCUAUUAACCUAGAAGUCUAUUCUCUGUGAAAUUAUCUUUCAAAAGUGAAGAAAAAGUAAAGACCUUCUCUGACAAAAAUUGCAAAAUUUGUUGCCGGUAGACCUGCCUUGCAAAAAAAUGUUCAAAGUUCUUUAGAGAAAAUAGUAGAGGUCAGUAACUCAGCUGUGCACAAAGAAAGGAAGAGCACAGUCUGUUUACAGGGCUCACACCUGUCAUCCUAACACUCUGGGAGGCAAAGAUCGGAAAACAGCUGGAAGCUGCUUAGUUGAGACCAGCCUGGGCAAUGUAGUGAGACUGUCUCAUUAAAAAGAAGCCAAACGUGGUGGCCGACACCUAUAGUGCCAGCUACUUUGAGAGGCUGAGAUGGGUCACUUCUUGAGCCCAGGAUCCCGUUCAAGGCUGCGGUGAGCUAUAAUGAUGCUACUCCACUCCAGCCUGGGCAACAGAGAAAGACCUUGUCUGUUUAAAAAAAAAAAAAAUAGAAAAACAAAAAGCAUUAAAGAAGAAAUAGUGAAGGUAGAAGAAAAUCUUUCAUUUUUCUUAAUAGAUCUAACAUAACAGUUCAUUCAUAAUAGCGACAGUAAAUAUACUGUAUUAUAUGCUUAUGUAUAUGUCAUAUACACACACUUAAAUAUAAGUGAAAUGAAUGAGAGCAGUAAUACCCAAGGGAUGGGAGGGAGCAAUUAGGAAUUAGGAUUAUUUUGUUAUUAUAGUGUGCUUGCAUUAUCAAGAAACCAGUGUAGUGUCGUUUGAAAGUGGACUUGGGUUACUUGUAAAUUUAUAUUGCAAAUUCCAAGGCAGCCACUUUAAAAAAAAA
Long non-coding RNA from Piliocolobus tephrosceles (Ugandan red Colobus), 2235 nucleotides. RefSeq lists it as uncharacterized. The record is from RefSeq and is a predicted model, not a curated record. The transcript is spliced from 2 exons. NCBI's taxonomy places the organism in Eukaryota, Metazoa, Chordata, Mammalia, Primates, Cercopithecidae.